Long non-coding RNA from Suncus etruscus (white-toothed pygmy shrew), 655 nucleotides. RefSeq lists it as uncharacterized. The record is from RefSeq and is a predicted model, not a curated record. The transcript has 2 exons. NCBI's taxonomy places the organism in Eukaryota, Metazoa, Chordata, Mammalia, Eulipotyphla, Soricidae.
CAGUCCCCCAAUGUGUCUCUACUUCGCCCUCUCCUUGGGCCGGGCCGCAGUGCGCGUGAUGGGCCAGGCCAAGGGGAGAGCGUCGCAGGCCCCCGGGCAUGGUCUCCACCCAGCAGGCCCCUUCCCAAGAAAGGACCCCCGAGGCUGAAGCUGCACCCCGGGUGGAGCCUGGGAGUUGGGGGAACCCGGGAUCAGGGUGAGGAGCUGGGGAAGCGUGGACCCGGGCCCACCCCACCACCCCAAGGCAGCUCGAGUGGCCCAGGAAGAGGAAUCGAAAGGGAUCCAGAGAAUCACCGGUGAAUGGUUUCCUGGGGCGCUGCCCACUGCACCUCAUUUCCUGUAGAUGACUGACUUCCUAGCUUCUGCCUUUAAAAGGUCCGUGAAGGACUCUGCAAAAUGGAGACGACUCAGCUCGGAUUCGGGGAACCCAGGGAAAGAAACCCGAGUUUCGAAUUGGUUCCGAACGCUGGAAAGGUUCCAGGUGGACCGUAAAAAUUGUUCCAGGCGAGAAUUAUGGGUGGAUGAUAACUCCAGGGGUGCAAUAUACUGAGGAGCAAAUAUUUGACUGGGUUAACUACUCUGCCCACGAAUAGUUCUUAUUAACAAGAGAUGAAUAUUACUUUUGAAAAAUAAAAUAAAGCGGACAUGCAAUCUC